AUUGAACGCUGGCGGCAGGCUUAACACAUGCAAGUCGAGCGGAAACGAUGGGAGCUUGCUCCCAGGCGUCGAGCGGCGGACGGGUGAGUAACGCGUAGGAAUCUACCCAGUAGUGGGGGAUAGCCCGGGGAAACUCGGAUUAAUACCGCAUACGCCCUACGGGGGAAAGGCCGGGAUCUUCGGACCGGUCGCUAUUGGAUGAGCCUGCGUUGGAUUAGCUAGUUGGUAGGGUAAAGGCCUACCAAGGCGACGAUCCAUAGCUGGUCUGAGAGGAUGAUCAGCCACACUGGAACUGAGACACGGUCCAG
RNAcentral lists this ribosomal RNA (308 nucleotides) under uncultured bacterium. RNAcentral's name for it is "bacterial SSU rRNA". It matches the Rfam family "Bacterial small subunit ribosomal RNA", at positions 30 to 334 of the family's 1533-position model. The record is from RNAcentral.